Molecule: ribosomal RNA, 518 nt
Filed under: uncultured bacterium
Lineage: Bacteria
Description: partial 16S ribosomal RNA
Rfam family: Bacterial small subunit ribosomal RNA
Source: RNAcentral
UGGGGAAUAUUGGACAAUGGGGGCAACCCUGAUCCAGCCAUGCCGCGUGAGUGAUGAAGGCCUUCGGGUUGUAAAGCUCUUUUGGCGGGGACGAUGAUGACGGUACCCGCAGAAUAAGCCCCGGCUAACUUCGUGCCAGCAGCCGCGGUAAGACGAAGGGGGCUAGCGUUGUUCGGAAUUACUGGGCGUAAAGCGAGUGUAGGCGGUUGCCGUAGUCAGGUGUGAAAGCCUUGAGCUCAACUCAAGAAAUGCACUUGAUACUGGGUGACUAGAGGACCGGAGAGGAUAGUGGAAUUCCCAGUGUAGUGGUGAAAUACGUAGAGAUUGGGAAGAACACCAGUGGCGAAGGCGGCUAUCUGGACGGUUACUGACGCUAAGACUCGAAAGCGUGGGGAGCAAACAGGAUUAGAUACCCUGGUAGUCCACACCGUAAACGAUGGGUGCUAGACGUUGGCGAGCUUGCUCGUCAGUGUCGCAGCUAACGCGUUAAGCACCCCGCCUGGGGAGUACGGCCGCAA